RNAcentral lists this small RNA (29 nucleotides) under Bombyx mori (domestic silkworm). RNAcentral's name for it is "ovarian small RNA-13875". The record is from RNAcentral. Lineage: Eukaryota; Metazoa; Arthropoda; Insecta; Lepidoptera; Bombycidae.
CCGCGUAUUACUACGCGGAGCUCGCGAUC